RNAcentral lists this long non-coding RNA (394 nucleotides) under Felis catus (domestic cat). RNAcentral's name for it is "lncRNA (ENSFCAG00000040341.2)". The record is from RNAcentral. Lineage: Eukaryota; Metazoa; Chordata; Mammalia; Carnivora; Felidae.
AAGCAAGAACCAGAGGCCUCUCCUUCAGUUCUUCAACCUUCCAUUCAGUACUGGAGGAGAAUAGAGGCUGCUAUCUGACAUGCUUCUUAAUUUACCAUUUGGUUAUUGUCUCUGAGCAACAACAUGGCCACGCCCAACAUCAACGACUGAGGAGCAGAGGAGCAGAAUCUUCCCACUGCCGGCUCUGGUGAGAACCCGCAACACCGCACAGAAAAAGACGUGAUGCACCCACCGUCCAAGCUUUUAUACUAAUCAAUUCCCAGCACUUAGUUUGUAUAUCCGAAGAAAAUUUAAUUCUGCCUAUUUUUGAUCUUAACAUAAAGAGAUAAAAUGGUAUGUACUCUUUCUUUUAUGUCUGGCUUCUAUUUCUCGAAAUUGUUUUUAAGAUUCAUCC